This 324-nucleotide ribosomal RNA is filed under the name uncultured eukaryote. Its description in RNAcentral is "partial 18S ribosomal RNA". It matches the Rfam family "Eukaryotic small subunit ribosomal RNA", at positions 1470 to 1796 of the family's 1831-position model. The record is from RNAcentral.
CCCUUAGAUGUCCUGGGCUGCACGCGCGCUACACUGAUGUGUCCAGUAAGCACCUAACCUCUUCCGAAAGGAACGGGUAACCUUUGCAAAGCACAUCGUGAUGGGGAUAGAUUAUUGCAAUUAUUAGUCUUGAACGAGGAAUUCCUAGUAAGCACAAGUCAUCAGCUUGUGUUGAUUACGUCCCUGCCCUUUGUACACACCGCCCGUCGCUCCUACCGAUUGAAUGUUCCGGUGAGCUCUUCGGACUGCGCGGUCUGCAGUUUCUGCGUUCCGUGCGGAAAGUUGCGCAAAUCUUAACAUUUAGAGGAAGGAGAAGUCGUAACA